Long non-coding RNA from Astyanax mexicanus (Mexican tetra), 518 nucleotides. RefSeq lists it as uncharacterized. The record is from RefSeq and is a predicted model, not a curated record. NCBI's taxonomy places the organism in Eukaryota, Metazoa, Chordata, Actinopteri, Characiformes, Acestrorhamphidae. The transcript has 2 exons.
AGGAAUUGUGGAAGCCAUGACUAAGCUUUAAAAGACCUUGAAGAUUUUUGGAAGCAGUUUUUAAUUUUUUUGAAAGUGGUCUAAACAUUCUUUUUUGCUUCUGUUUAAUGCAUGUUUUAACACCAUCCUGUUAGAAUAAUGCAGUGUAAAAUGCAACUUAAAUAAACCGUAGAUACUGUGCACUACUGACCAAAAGUGUACCAGUCCUACACAUGUUCUCACUCUCUCAGCAACUGCACUCCAGCACUAAUCAAUCAAACAGCACAUCUGUUGCCAGCAAUCAGAUUUUUGGCCAGACUAAUGGGGACCUGCAGCUGUAUUGAAGCCUGGAUUCAGCCUCGAGGCUGAAUCAGACAAGAGAGAAGGAGAACAGAGGAAAGCAACCUCACAGCCUCCAGAAGCCAAUCUACCAAAUCCAGCCCUUCCAGCCAAAAGCAACUGCAAGUGAUGCCACAGAACAAAUCCGCUUGUGUUACAGUAGAGGAUGUGAGUAAUAAAAUAAAUAUAUCAUCCCUGCA